GUCUACGGCCAUACCACCCUCAACGCGUCCGAUCUCGUCCUUCUUCUUGGAAGCUAAGCAGGGUCGGGCCUGGUUAGUACUUGGAUGGGAGAACUCCCAGUGAGAAAUAGUUUCCUUGCCA
RNAcentral lists this ribosomal RNA (121 nucleotides) under Aotus nancymaae (Ma's night monkey). The record is from RNAcentral. Lineage: Eukaryota; Metazoa; Chordata; Mammalia; Primates; Aotidae.